Choloepus didactylus (southern two-toed sloth) is the source of this 2630-nucleotide long non-coding RNA. RefSeq lists it as uncharacterized. Lineage: Eukaryota; Metazoa; Chordata; Mammalia; Pilosa; Megalonychidae. The transcript has 3 exons. The record is from RefSeq and is a predicted model, not a curated record.
CAAACACCUACCGCGUCUGCCAGAGUUCUCGCGAUAACUCUAGGGCCACACCCUCCUCAUCUCCACGUCCCUCUCCCCUCCACCGGCCAAUCCUUGAAGAGUUGCGGCGGAGCUUUGCCUUUGAGCCUGGAGCGGGGCUUUCAAUCCUGGUUCUCUAGCGCUGGGAACCUGCGGGGCGGAGGAGCCACUCGGACGGCGGUGGGCGAGGCUGGGGUUAGACACGUGCUAUCUGUCGCAAGACCCCGGAGACGGCAGAGGUUUCGGGUGCUGCUGUUUCAGAACCUUCUACCUCCCGAGCCCACGCCUGGUCUCCGGGUGAGGGGCGGGAUGGGCCCGAGUGGGCCUGUGGAGGCGCGCAGGGUCCUCUGUGGUGAAAGAGGGAUUCGAGUUGCGGCCUGUCGGGCCCAAUUAGGGAGGCGCCCACACUCCUGAGAGGAUAAGAUGGCAGCUGGAGAUAGUGGCUUUACUGGCGGCGGCAUGAAUCUUUUCCUCAGCGAUUCCGACGAGGACCACGAAGAGGUAGCGAGGAGCGGCGGUCAGGACUUCGGCCGGGUCUCGGGGGUGGCCUAGAUCCCGGCUCCGCGGGUUCGCUCUCGCCGGCGGAUCCCGUGGUCCUGGGGAGCGGUGCGCGGCCGGGCUCCCUGGGGAGACAGCGGCGCCGAGAAACAGCGGGGACACCCGGCCCGAUGGUCAGUUGAUGCGGUCAGCGCUUGCUGACCGCCCUGGAGCUGCACACCGAGCUGCUGGGGAGCCGCCGCGAACUGCCUCGGCUGCGCGACUACUUCACCAACCCAGGCAACCUCGAGAGGCAGAGCUGGAACCCGCCUAGGAUGGGAGCGCGGGGGGUCCUGCAGCAGUUAUGCACUUCAGCCUGAAGAAUGUUAUAGUUAGAAAUUGUGUCUAAUCCUCCAGAUCGUUGAUUUCAUACUUUAAACAUUCAGCUCCUUGAAAUUGACCUAGGAUUAUGGAAUCAACACUGGCCUGGACCUGAAAGACUGGCUCCUAGUCCAAGCUCUGCCACUACCUACCCGGGAAAACUUGGGAAGUUCCUGCCACCUCAUUGAUUCUUCAGCUUCCUAAGUUACUCAGCAUGUUCCCUCUCCUCGUGAGAUUGGUGAAGAAAAUAUUUGGCAAAGUUCUUCAAAGCCACAACAUGGUGGUCAAAGUAGUAAGACAUGGACAGCAUUACAUCAUCUUCAAGAAGGUAUAAAAGAAGACUGGACACACCAUUUGCAAUUUCCUUUUAGCUUUCACUAAACACCAUAGAGAAUUUAGAAGUUCUCACAUCCUGCCCAUAAUGGAAGGAGAAGUAUACAGAUCAAGGAAGAAGAUUCUUUAUUAUUAAAGGAUGAAUUAGAAGAGGAAUGCAACGAGAGAGUAAAACUCUAAAAUCCAGUGAAGGUGAAAUUGAUAGCAUAAGUAACUUCUGACUACAAAUCUUUGGAUGUCAAUAUCCUAGAUGCAUUUUAUCAAACAUAAGAAUUGAUGAGUAGAAUAUAUAUUUCUAAGAACAAAAAGGAAAUAUGGUAUUCUAAUCCAGUUACUCAUUCAAGAGGGAAGGACUUGAUUACACAAUAGUUUGUUGCAAAAACCUGGACUCUCUUGUUUUGCUAAGCAAAUGUGACAGUAUUCUUGCAUCUUUUGUGAUAUUUGUGUGCCAACCCUGACUUAUUAUAGUUCAUAAGUGGGCAAUGCUUACAUAAGGUGUGUAUAUAAAGGUGACUGGAAUGAAUCAAAUGAAAUAGAAAUGAAAAAAAAUAUAUUGGAUUGGAAAAAUAAAAAAUAAAAGGGUCCAUUGUACACAGAUGGUAGAUGGUGAUGACUGUUUUACCUGAUAUAUUGAAAAUUAAAGAGUUGUAAGGCAGAGCUAACAUUUAGUCAAUGCCCUCAAAACAGUUCUAUUUUAAAAUAUCUCAAAGUAGGAAUAAAAGUUUUUUAUGGAUAAAAGUACAUACUCUUUUAAAAAUAAUUUAACACAACAUUUUCAGUCACUCACAUCUCUCUAAAUGAUAGAAAAAUAAUUUUCAAUUUAUUAUCCCAUUUGGCUAUGGUGUUCUUUUCCUAUUUUAAAUAAUUUAUUACAUAAUCAAUUAAAAUUCUUAUUAUAAUGCUAGUUAGUAUCCUCUCCAAAGCUAUCAGUUCGGCAUGUGGCCCUCCAGACAGACCAUCUAUACAGUCACACGUGUACCAGCAGAAUUCUGUAUUUUUAAGAUUAAUGAUAUUAUACUGUAUGUAUAGUUCUGUACUUCCAUUUUUCACUCUACAACCCAUCUUUCAAACUUUCCCAUAUAAGUAUGUAUAGGUCUACCUUAUUCUUCUUAAACUGCCACAUGCUAGUUCAAAGUAUGGAUGUUACCACUAUUAAUUUAACCAUCCCCCUACUGCUUUAAAAAGUUGUUUCCAGUUUUCUCUAUAACUCAAAGUACUGCAGAUGUACAAGUAUUUCUUUGGGGCAGACUUUGACAAGUAGAUUUCUUUAGGCACACAGUUUGGGCAUUCUUUCUUUUAACAGAUAAAGGAGUUGUACUAAUUAAGAGUAUACCAGAAAUAUGUAUGAGAACCCAUUUCACCUUACCAUAUGAUGUUAUCAAACAAUAAUGGUUAAAAACGGAGUCUUGAUGUUGUUUCCA